UACAGAGGUCUCAAGCGUUGUUCGGAUUCAUUGGGCGUAAAGGGUGCGUAGGCGGCGCGGUAAGUCGGGUGUGAAAUCUCGGAGCUUAACUCCGAAACUGCAUUCGAUACUGCCGUGCUUGAGGACUGGAGAGGAGACUGGAAUUUACGGUGUAGCGGUGAAAUGCGUAGAUAUCAGGAAGAACACCCGUGGCGAAGGCGGCUCUCUGGGACGGUACUGACGCUGAGACGCGAAAGCGUGGGGAGCAAACAGG
This 253-nucleotide ribosomal RNA is filed under the name uncultured bacterium. RNAcentral describes it as "partial 16S ribosomal RNA". It matches the Rfam family "Bacterial small subunit ribosomal RNA", at positions 524 to 776 of the family's 1533-position model. The record is from RNAcentral.